GCAGCUUGGCGCCACCAGGCGGUGGGCGGGGCGGGGAGUCCGGAGUGGGGCGAGGGUUGGGAGGGAGGUUUGGGUAGGGAGGAAUGGGGAACUCGAGUGGGUCAGGGGGUCUAGGGACGAGGGCAGGCUGCAAUGUCUGUGGAGAAAGCGCUUCCGUUCCAGUUUUCACACCCGGGCCAGAAAGUACGGAGUAAGCAGCUUAAGGAGCCGCGGGGACGCAAUAAGGCCCGGAUACCCCGCGCCCAUAUUCUUCGGGGGGACCAAAGGAAAUCGCCACCGAAGUCACACUGCAAGAAGGCGCAAGUGAGAGAGAAAGAGAAGGUGUGGGUACCCUGGAAUGGACUCAUCGUGAUUGGGAAGAGAGUGGAACUCUUGGACAGAAACGUGCAAAAGUCUAACCCAAAGUUGGAAUCUGAGGACUGGAAGCUGGAGGGCACCGGGAAGAAGUUCUCAAGAGAGAAAUCGGGCCUGCAACAGGAGGCAGUGGUCGCGAAGCUCCUGAGCAGUUUCCUAAGACUUCCAGACCAGACCUGCUCGACAGGCGUUCUCCUGACAGCCUUCCACACUGGCACCUGGGCUCUUACAUCACAGAGCACCCGUUCCUGAGGCCUUCCUCUGAAUCAAAGGAUACCCAGACACACCAGUGGACAAAGACCCCCUCCCUCAGAGGAGCUACUCGGUUCAAAGGCAUUUGGAAAACAGAAGUAAGACAACAGAGAAGUUUUAUUAGCCUCUCAAAGUUUCUGGUAUGUGGAUUAUUAUUCUGCCUCAAAUUUUGCGGACUUAGUGAAGAAAAACACCUAGACUCCCAGCCUGUUCUUGCCCUUGCCUUAGUACUUCAGAUGUGGACUUAGACUUGGUGUCGAAUCGCCAUCGCCAUCCCAUUUGCUUGAGGAGCAUCAGUAGGACCCACCGUCAGCCUCCGGCCACACCCGAGCAGUCAGGUGUCACCAGGUUUAGCAGGAAAACUGGGGCCCUGAGAAGGGUGUGGAGUCAGGGAGGGAAGAAAGAGGAGAGGCACUGUCCCGGGAAGGACAGGAGGAACAGUCCAUCUCUGGGAUAGCAGGAGGAAGGUCUUUAAUGAAACAUCUCAGAGAACAGGGUGGGUCUGCAAAACCACCCCAGGACCAAGGCACAGAGGAGGUUUGAAAUGUCCAGGAUAAAUAGAACCAGUGGGGGUGGAGAAAAGCCAGCUCCCCCCCUGAGUCUUACUGUGGGCACCAAAAAUAUAUUAACAUCUGUACAUUAACAUCUGUACUAACAUCUGUACAUUUGUCAUCUUUUAAAAAAAAAAGGAAUAAAACCUCCUUGGCACCUUAUGGUUGGUUUCUU
This 1332-nucleotide long non-coding RNA is filed under the name Mus spicilegus (steppe mouse). RNAcentral's name for it is "lncRNA (ENSMSIG00000001543.1)". The record is from RNAcentral. Lineage: Eukaryota; Metazoa; Chordata; Mammalia; Rodentia; Muridae.